RNAcentral lists this ribosomal RNA (406 nucleotides) under uncultured bacterium. RNAcentral describes it as "partial 16S ribosomal RNA". It matches the Rfam family "Bacterial small subunit ribosomal RNA", at positions 30 to 526 of the family's 1533-position model. The record is from RNAcentral.
AUUGAACGCUGGCGGCAGGCGUAACACCUGCAAUUCGAGCGAGCGGCGCACGGGUGCGUAAUGUCUGGGAAACUGCCUGAUUGAGGGGGAUAACUACUGGAAACGGUAGCUAAUACCGCAUACCAUCAGAUGUUCCCAGAUGGGAUGAGCUCGUAGGUGGGGUAAUGGCUCACGUAGGCGACGAUCCCUAGCUGGUCUGAGAGGAUGACCAGCCACACUGGAACUGAGACACGGUCCAGACUCCUACGGGAGGCAGCAGUGGGGAAUAUUGCACAAUGGGCGAAAGCCUGAUGCAGCCAUGCCGCGUGUGUGAAGAAGGCCUGCGGGGUGUAAAGCACUUUCAGCGAGGAGGCGUUAAUCGCAGAAGAAGCACCGGCUAACUCCGUGCCAGCAGCCGCGGUAAUUC